CCUUCUUUCAUUUCUCUAUCAUCAGAAACAACCCCCAUUCUCUCCUUUUCUCCCGACAACAUCCCCUCAUUUGUCAAACCCUAACUCUGCCAAUCUCAUCGAAAGCCAGCUCCCUGUCAAUUUCAGUACUCAUCGCCCAUACCUCCAUCACCAUCUUUCCCCUGUCAGGCUACUUGCUUAUUUUCUAUACUUAUCUCUACUCAAUUCAACCUAGACCUAGACUGUGGAGUGCAAGAUUAAUUCGGCUGAUUUUCUCUUCAAAAGUGACAGGAUAACAAGCUAUUGGUUUGAAUUUGUUGCUCCUUGUGAACUCCAACAACUGCAACAAGAAAUUGACAGUAAAAAGGUGGACGUGGUGGACACAAGCUACAGGCGUUAUCAAUUUAGGUCUGAACCUAAUUUCUGUACAAUAUCAGUCAAUUUGGUACAGUGGCGGUACAUGAAUGAAGAAUCUUACUUAGUGGUGCUUUCAAUACUGACGCGCAAACCAAAGGUUAGAAGCGAGAGGAGCGAAGCAACCUAUGUGUUGUGCCUAAACCCGGUCUUAUACCGGUGAUAUUGUUCCUCAACUUUAAUAUUCUUGUCUGGAAUGAUAUACCAUCCUCGCAUGCAAACUGAACUCGAUACUCCAUUAUCAAAUACCCCCAAACCCCUGCAACAUAUAACACCUUUGAACAUCUGUGACACUGGAGUAACUUAUUUGUUAGCUGAAGUUGUUAUUUCACUGUGCCUAUCUUAAUAUCUGCAAAAUACUGUGUUUUUGUGCUUGCACAAUCUUGAUACUCAUUCGCAUAAACCCUGAGUUUUUGACUUGUGUAAGUGUUGUUUGAA
Molecule: long non-coding RNA, 831 nt
Organism: Papaver somniferum (opium poppy)
Lineage: Eukaryota; Viridiplantae; Streptophyta; Magnoliopsida; Ranunculales; Papaveraceae
Exons: 2
Source: RefSeq, a predicted model, not a curated record